CCCAGGCAGGGCUGGAGUAGGGCCGGGCCGCUCCGAGGGAGCAGGGAGGCAGCUGGGCCUGCAGCCAGUCCUCCGCAGACCUGCAGAGGGCCCAUCUGCCUGGACCUGGGCGCCUCCCCCGGAAUCUGCCCACAGCUCUGCUUCUUGCACAGCCGGCGGAUGAGUGGUGCGCGGGCAGGUCCGUGCCUGGGCAGAUGCAGGGCAGGACCGGGGCUGAGAGCUGAGGUCGCCGGACUCACUGCGUGCUUGAGAAACCCCAGGAGUAAAGGCUAAGGCCUCGGAGGCCCCAGUGAAAAGGUUAGUUCUAACCCUAUUAGUAGGAGUACACCCCAAAUCCCAGCGGGAAGCCCUCUGGGGGCCGGAUCUUGCAGCCCACUGCUGCUGAGCAGCAUCUGCCUGCGCUCUUGCCCCAUGAACGUCGCCUGGCCUCACGUCCCUCCCGGGUCCCUCACCUCUGCGGGAGGCCUGGACUUUGGGCCCAGCUCCCAACUCCUCUUCUCCCAUUCAGGGUGAGGGACCCGGGGGGAGCAGAUCGUCUCAGGGACCCCUAGGCCCACAGAGGCCACGGGAUGCAACAGCAAGUGUCUCUGUGUACUGAAGCCUGGCCUGGGGCCCAGGCAGGGCCCCGGGAGCCAGGCCGGGGCGGCCAGAGGACGGAUGAGAAAGGAUGAGGACAAACUGGCCCGUGUCCCCCGUGCGGCCCUGGGUUGGGGGACAGCAGCCGGAUCUGCAUGGGAAGCGUGGGGACUGUGGCCUAGAUAAACCAUUCUGUACGAUCUGAUCAGCCUGAAUACUUGUCACAGCUACGGGAAGCUGAUGAUGACCCAGUCUGUCCGAAGGAGCACACUGACAUUCGGAAAUUAAAUAAAUUAUGAGUUUAGAAAGAAAAGACAAAAGAGAAAACUGUCCGAAUUUCAUAACUUACUAAUAGGGGUAUUUCAAACAAAACAGGGAAAGGUGUCAUAAAGUCUUCACCUACUCGGUGCUGUAUCUGUGGCUUCAUUGGUGGCCUUCCUAAUGGAAAAAUAAGAAGCCCAGUGUUUUCACAGAUGGAUAAAGAGUGCUCUGGAUUCUGGAUUCUGCCUAUGGCAUAAUUGGUUGGUCACUUUAGAAAAUGACUCUGAGAAAAUGAAGAACUAAUGUUUUUGGAAGACUGAAAUGAGCUCAGACAAGAGACAGAAAUGCUUUUUAAAGUUAAUUAUGUUUGCUUUUUACUCUCCCUUGGUGUUCAUUACCUUGGAAUGGAGCCGCACAGGGCAGAAAUAAUUACCAGGUUUUCAGUGCAGGUGGCUGCCUUUUUGCAGGGAGGGGAGGCACCCAAAGCUGUAUCUGUUUCAUACUUUGUACCAUUGGAAAUUAAAAGUUCAGUUUUAAUGAGGCAAGCAGGUACCAGGUAUAAUCCUAAAAUGUGCUCAGGCAUUAUAAUCCACUUAGCAUGACACCUGAGGCUAAAUCAGUGAGAAAAGAAUGCCAUAUGCAUUACUGUCAGAAGCCAUUCGUCUUGCCUGGCUAUGGACUGUAACUUCUCUUGAAAUCAAUAUGCAGGUUCAUGUCCUGCAAAUUUGUACAUGUUCAGAAUCUGCUUGGUUGUGAACUAAUCUGUCUUCUGCUUGGGAAUCUAGGGAAGGAGUAGAGGUUUUGUGUUACUGGGAAGCAAAUCAAAUGUUAGGCUAAGGAAAAUAACAGUUAGCAAAGAAAGACAUACUGGUGAAUGAACAGCAUGCUAAUGGAUGUCCCUGGGGCUGGGUUCUGUUCAAGGCGCGGCUAUUAAACGCGGUUACCAGUGAAUCCCAGGUCGCAGACCCACUGACAUCCACCGGGAGGCUCGGCCUGUUACAGAGCUAGAGUCUGUGCACGCCCUACCGAGGUCCUGAGUCAUGCAGAAGAUGUCGAAUCACCCUGCUACAGACAGGCAGGUCUGCCCACACCCUGUCUAGGUCCCCAGUAACGUGGAACACACACCGAAUCAGCCCGCUGCAGACAGGAAGGUCUGUGCAUGCCCUACCGAGAUCCUGAGUCACGCGGAAGACAUUGAAUCAUCCCACUGCAGACAGGCAGCCACCUGAUUCCACAUUACCAAGGUGCAGAGGACACCAGACCACCAGACCAAGCAGAUUCUGCAAACUCCAGCGUCCCUGAGAGAGCGAGGGGAGGUCACCAGAGUGAGGCCUGGGGGCCUGCAGGGCCCCACUGAAGGAGUUGGUGCAGCCAGGCCCAGGGUCCCAGCAGCUGCCCGAGAACUGUUACAUCUACUGCAUGAAGCUGGCCAGUACCGAGUUAUGCCGAGUUACCAGGCUGGAUUCAAACUCUGGUGUCCUCCUGCCCUGGCCUCCUGAGUACCUGGGACCACAGGUGUUUACCACCUGCUACAGUGUAGAUUAAGAAUGACCCCAACUCUCCUGUGGUCACACAUGGGCCUUUCGGAAGGCCCUUCUGCCAUGCCCUUCUGUGUGGGAGCUUGUCAACCAAACUGCAAAUGUGAGCCAAAAUAAACCUCUCCUCCUUUAAGUUAAGCAAGGUGCCAUGUUGUGAACCACCAGAUGGAGACAGUCAUACAGAAAGGAGCCUAGGGUGACCUUCAGCCAACAACCGGGCAAGAAUUCAGUCCCUCAGCUUGGCAGCAUGUAAGGAAUUGAAAGCUGCCAACAGCCUGAGGAAGCUCUUACCUCAAAUGUUCUCACAGUCCCAGUCAAUAUUUCAAUCCAGAAAUGAGCAGAAGAAAAGCAGAUGGAAGAAAAACAGGAGUGAAAGAAGAAGAAAGAAUGAUAUGGUGAAAAAUAGAAAAAAGGUCUACCCACUGUCUGGGAAGCCCUGUGCUCUGCUCUGCUGGUUGUCUUCAUUAUUGUGUACCCCGUCUUGAAAAUCAAAUGCAUAAAUUUGGGGAAGAGGUCUUUUCUGAAAGAUUGGCUAGAUGAAAUUGACAAUUUUUAUUGAUUAUCCUGGUAUCAAUAAGAGGUUGAUACAAAAUUGUCAAGAUGAUCCAGGUAAGAAUAAAAAGAUAGGCAAUAAAGCAGUUAUAUUUUAGUUUAAUAUUGUAUUCUAAAGAAAUCAAAAUAACAAGUGAUUGUGAAAUAAUUUUCUAUAUGCUUAUUACUCAAAUUAAGCCAAUUGUUUGUAUUAACUCCCAGUCUAAUUCUAAAUAAAGUCUUCAAGCUUCGGUUAUUUACCAUUUAUAAACUGUAUAAAAAAAGUAAUUUCAGAAACUCAAAUUUUUGUUUAUUGGAGUUAGUAAUUGCUAAUGCAAGGAUUUUGAGAAUUAAGAACUCACAAUUUUGAAUUUUUUAAAAAAUUUGAAAACUUAC
RNAcentral lists this long non-coding RNA (3302 nucleotides) under Heterocephalus glaber (naked mole-rat). RNAcentral's name for it is "lncRNA (ENSHGLG00000044424.1)". Lineage: Eukaryota; Metazoa; Chordata; Mammalia; Rodentia; Bathyergidae. The record is from RNAcentral.